GAUGAAGAACGUAGCGAAAUGCGAUAAGUAAUGCGAAUUGCAGAAUCCGUGAGUCAUCGAAUCUUUGAACACACAUUGCGCCCUCUGGUAUUCCGGAGGGCAUGCCUGUUCGAGCGUCAUUAUCACCCCUCAAGCCCGGCUUGUUGUUGGAUGCAGCGCUUAUCCCGCUCCUCCCAAAGAUAAUGACGGCGUCUGCGACGACUCCUGUACACUGAGCUUUCGGGCACGUACACGGCUAGAAGUCCAGACCCGGUCGCCGUCCCCCCCGCGGGGACACCCAUUACCACAAGGUUGACCUCGGAUCAGGUAGGAAUACCCGCUGAACUUAAGCAUAUCAAUAAGCGGAGGA
RNAcentral lists this unclassified non-coding RNA (349 nucleotides) under soil metagenome. Its description in RNAcentral is "partial contains 5.8S ribosomal RNA, internal transcribed spacer 2, and large subunit ribosomal RNA". The stretch from base 1 to 119 matches the Rfam family "5.8S ribosomal RNA", at positions 35 to 154 of the family's 154-position model. The record is from RNAcentral.